RNAcentral lists this ribosomal RNA (250 nucleotides) under uncultured prokaryote. Its description in RNAcentral is "partial 16S ribosomal RNA". It matches the Rfam family "Bacterial small subunit ribosomal RNA", at positions 524 to 773 of the family's 1533-position model. The record is from RNAcentral.
UACGGAGGAGGCAAGCGUUAUCCGGAAUUAUUGGGCGUAAAGCGUCCGCAGGUGGCCUAUCAAGUCUGUUGUUAAAGCCCAGGGCUCAACUCUGGAUCAGCAAUGGAAACUGAAAGGCUAGAGUACGGUAGGGGUAGAGGGAAUUCCCAGUGUAGCGGUGAAAUGCGUAGAUAUUGGGAAGAACACCAGUGGCGAAGGCGCUCUGCUGGGCCGUAACUGACACUCAUGGACGAAAGCUAGGGGAGCGAAA